This 820-nucleotide long non-coding RNA is filed under the name Strigops habroptila (Kakapo). RNAcentral describes it as "lncRNA (ENSSHBG00005004362.1)". Lineage: Eukaryota; Metazoa; Chordata; Aves; Psittaciformes; Psittacidae. The record is from RNAcentral.
ACGGCAGUGGCGGAGCGCAGACUCCCCUGUCGUCCAGCGCUGUUUUUGCUCAUAUUCUACUUGCUAUAAUUAAUAAAAUUUUAAUUGGAUUAUGAUCCGUUGUGGUCACAAUUUAUGACAAUUUCUGGUGCCGUGACUCGGAUAAGGAACGGUGGGCUUUGGUCCUCCGGGGAGGCGCCCCGCGACAUUUCGCGGCCCCGCGACCAACAGCUCACUCCAACCUUACCGACGAACCUAAAUUCUAGGAUAUUGAGCAAAAAAGGACCGGUAAAAUCCCAUAAAAUUCUGUGCACGGGAGUCCGGACGAAGACGCAGGACGCAAACAGCUGUCCGAACUGCUGAGCGUGGAUGGACUCAUGCCAGUCGCAUUAAAGGCCCAGUGACGAGACCCCACUGGAAAGUAAUCAGUACUCCAGGUGACACCAAGAUAACCCUGAAAAGAUAACACAGAAACUCGGACACUGCUUGAGUAAGAUAAGAUAACCACAAUCGCGAGAUAACUGCCAGACUUCCAGGAACCGACAGAAACAGGACAAACAACCCCAGAUAAGGACAUGUGAAUGAGGGGUCAGCUAUGGGAUAAAGGAGAAAGACUUCUUACUUCGGCCUCAACGACCACCAGGAGGUAGAAAACGACCCCCUAACAACAACUGAAGCAUGCGCAGAGUACCUCCACUACUUCAUGAACACGGAAGUAAAGAUGUAUAAAAAGGGACUGUUUGAACUGCUCAGCACGGCAGUGGCGGAGCGCAGACUCCCCUGUCGUCCAGCGCUGUUUUUGCUCAUAUUCUACUUGCUAUAAUUAAUAAAAUUUUAAUUG